CAUAGUUGUUAAAAGUGUUUGUAACAUUUAUAUAUCAGAGCAGGACUUGAACCCAGGUCUUUCUGAUUCUGAAGUUUACCUUCUAACCACUACUACUCCAUACUGCUUCUCUUGCCCAAGUAGCAGGUUGCCAAGUUACAAUGUGAACCCAGGGCUUCUGACACUAAACCCAGUGCUCUUUACAUUGAUGCCUUGGUGAAUAUUCCUGUCUUUCUGUUUUUCCUUGUGGUUAGCUCUAAGUGUGACAGAGGGUGAGUCUAGCAUAAUGAGAAAGGUCUGCCCUCUGCCAGAUGGACUAGAUUGCGCUUUAGAGUAAAACAUUAGCUUGGCGGCUGAUAUAAAUGUCCUGAGUGUCUCUCUCUCUCUCUCUCUGUCUCUCUCCUUUUGGGGUCUUUUCUUUCAUCAGUCCUUGGCCUUUCUGAGAUGGUUUUGGUGGUAAUCUCCUGCCAACAUAAUUCUUUGUGAGUUACUUUCGUUUGUAAAACCUUUCACCGCAUGAAGAUGUUCUAUUUAAUUAGUAAAAGUUCAAUUUUUUUGUCACUGACAGAGCACCGUACAUCACCAUGUCUGGAGAGUCAUUAGCUGGAAAAUUAAUCAGGGUGGAGAACAGCUGAAUAAAACCCCAGCCCUCAGUGUAACUUUCCACAUCCCUGGCUCAGCUGUGGAUACUAUCCAGCGCCAACCCUCAAAGGACAUCUUGGACUAUUCCCACCAGUGAAAAGGCACAAAUUGUGACUCCAUCGAUAUAUGGAGCUGCUCAAUAAAAGGAAACAAAAUCCCUCUUCUGAAACAGAUGGACAAAUUUUCUCCAACAAAGAGAAUACGGAAAUUAAGUAUCUUGCUCAAGAUCACAUAUAUUGUCAGAAUAUAUAAAAAGAGGCAGAAGUUAAAUCUAGGCCAUCCUGACUCCAAAGUGAGCCAAUCUUUUCUCCAUUUCAAUAUAUUUCCUCUUCUAAAUACUGAGAACUGACUACAUGACCAUGUACCUAGAUGGACAAAGCAUCUGUAGAUGAAUCUGAUUAUUUAUAGUAUGGUCAAAGAUUGUCCACUCUGCUCCUGUUCCCUUCUUCUCUUUGUUAUUCCAACCACUCUCUGAUGUUUGCUUCUUUCUCUUCUUCUAGGCUAUCUUCUUCACAUUGUACUAUAGCUGGUGACUUGGUUUAAUCUCUUGAUCCUACUUUCUUACCUGAUCAAUGGAGACCUCACUCUUCUCUGGCUAAAUAUCACUCCCAGAUUCUGGGGGUUAUUUAUUCUGAGCAUCUGCUUGACUGCCAUGGACCAAGAGUUUUCAACUUCUCAGCUGAGAUAGACAAUAUGUAACUGAUACUCAACAUACCCUUUUUCAGACCUCUUUCUGAGCCCCUGUUAACUCUAUCUUUCCCAGGCCUCCUCUGGUUCCUAACACAAUGUUAGGAAACAACCCAUACCUGAGUCUUGGAUUGAUUAUUUUGAGUGGGGGGCUAUUUAUCUUUUAAGCAAAACAGAGUACACCAUGCAGCAGGAAUCAGAGAGCCUGAAAACUGGUAAUUUUAAUAAUAACACUACUUUGCUUUUAUAUAGUACAUUUCAUCUGAUGUAUUCAGAGAGCUUCCAGACAUUAAUUAAAUUCGACAACACCCUGUGUGUUAAGUUGAAUUGUAAGAAAUGUGAAAGUGGAUGUCAAGAAACUGAUGUUUUAUUCUGAGCUCUUCCAUUAACAGAAUGUUUUGCCUUGGGCCCACAACUCCAAUGCAGAGAGAGAAAAUCUGCUCACUGAUGAAAAGGAAUACUUCCAAAGACGCUGAUGCACGUGGAUUAACAAAGACUAAACAGAGAGACAGGUAGCAUUUGGUUUGGAAUUCAGGCAUUGACUCAAAACAGAUUCAGGAAUGAAUAUUCCAAAUUGGGGCAAAGAAAGUCAAUAUUGCCAACAAAUGGCAUAUAAUUGAAGCCAUGAAACCACAGCUUUGGAGUUUUAGAUAGCAUCAUUUGCGAGGGGUAAGGGAGCGUUGAUGAAUCAGGGUUAAGGAUACUGCAGCAAUGGACCAGAUCCCCCCCAGAGAAAUAUACAUCUUUCUUCCCUGAUGGCCGACCCUGACACCAUCAGGAUGGUGGGUGGAGAUGAAUAGUGACAGCUUUAUGAGCAGCGCCAAGCACCAGGAUGAUGAGACCAGGCUUCUGAGCCGCUCCGGAUGGGACUUUUAAAGGCCAUUAAAUCAGCUGUGCGAUAUGUUAUGUUUCACUCUGGCGGUGCUGGCUUUGGAGGGCCAAUUCGUAAAGGUGUAUGUGUGGGCACAGGGCUGUAGUGAUUACAGAUGAGGCAGGGAUAAGGACACUUGUUGGUCACAUCUGAAGGGGAGGUUCAGUGUUGUCAUCUGUAAAACUGGAGUCUUGGGAGGACCAUUUCGGAUCAAACAUUCUCUGUUCUAAGGUAACUUUCAGCUCAAGUAUUCUACAUUUCACUUUCUAGGGUCUCUUCUGAUCUAUUAGUCUGUAUUUUGUGUUUUAACAGUCUAUAUUCUAAGGACUACUCCAGCUCUAAUAUUCUAUAUUCUAAUGUUCUAAGAUUAGAAGAGGAUGGAGAAGUGAGUGUGUUGGGUUGGAGAUCUCUGUACCUCUUUGUAGGGUCAUAUUCAGUGACAAUGAUGAAGAUUUGUGGAAGCAGCUUCAUUAUUUUUGGCACAGGCAUUUCUAUUCUUGGGCCUAACUUGGAUACCCAAAAGCAGAAACAAAACAACUUUAACACCUCAGAUCGAAAAGCCUUGCAUAAAUUGUUUUGCCACCUGCCUGCACUCAACCCUGUUCUACUGUCUGUGGAUUCCAAUGCUAUCUACAGCCCUAAUUAAAACUGAACUAAAAGGGGAAAACACCCAUCCCACUUCCCCUUCCCCCAAAGGCCUGAAUGAAGUUCAGACUCAAGAAAGCCAGUGACUAAUGAUAGCAAUGAAAGCCCCAUACAGAGGAGGCAGGUUGGAAGAGAGGUGUGUCUUUAACACCUCAUCUCUGGAAAUGUAGUUUAAUCUCUGACCCAUUACUUCUUUGGGUCUUGGGCCAGUUAAUCAGAUGUUAUUGAGUUCUGAUCUGACUUCAUGUAAAGAAUUGCUCUAAGAAAUAUGUUAUUUCAAAAAGCUUAAGACAGGGACAGCAUUAUCUACAAGGAAAAACAACCUCCACAAAACCAUAUAGGGAGGCAAGGGUGAAGAGGCAGAAAAUACCAAAGUAAGGGAGUAUCAGCCAGGGUGAUAAACAAUGGGGAUUCUAUGUGCCCCGAGACUAAUGAAGAUUUGCAAGGAGCUCUGAAAGGCUGAUCAAUUGGGGCAGGCAGCAUUCUGUCUGUUGUGAUAUAACUGUUCUUAUGAAUCUAAGAAAUAGACAAGGUGACAUCAGGUAUCCUGGCUGGCCAGACUCAGAAUCAUUGUGAUCAUCAUCGUGACAUGGAGCACAGAACUCCUUUAUCUUCGAGUGCUUUAAGAAGACGGGAUACAUAGGAAGAAAUCAGAAUUGCCAAUACUCCAACUGAUGGAAAUGCUUCAAUGCAGAUGGUGCAGACCAUUAAAGUAAGCAAACUACCACUGCACAUGAAAUGGAGGAUAUGGAUGUUUUUAUUAUGUACCAAAGCUGCUUCAUAACAAAAUUGAAAGCAGAUCUCACAAUUAUGAGCAAAGACUUUCUCCAGCUUUUCUACAACAAUAUUCUCAGCUUCAAGCUACAUAACAGCAUAUUAUAGAUCAAUGUAGGGCAAUCCUAGGAAAUAACUUCAUUCCUAAGCAGAGAUUAGAUGAAGUAAGAGUAGAAAUUGAUGAGUUACUUAAACUUGAAGAAAAAGCUGAAGAACCCAGAGGCAUUAAAAAUUUAUAGUGAACAAAAAUUCAGUAUCUACCUAACAGUGAAAUGUUUAUACAAAAUAAAGUUGAUGUCUCAACUGAUUUUGAAAUGAAAGAUGGACAUUUGUAAAGUGAAACUUUGAAAACUCCUUUUUGAGUUGAAGAGCACAAACCAAACUCCCAUGAAACCAUGAAGCCAAAACCACAUGGACCUAAAAAUAUUUUUCAAUAACUGUUUCAGUUUAAUUUGUUUUUUUUAAUUUAAUCUGAUGCAUCUUGUUUAAUUCAUGUUAGUGCCUUAUUCUGAGAAAAGGUUGAUAAUAUUCCCAAAAUUGCCAAAGGGAUUUAUGAUGCAAAAAAUAUUCUAACACUUAUAAUAGACCAAAUAAUUAAAAUACUGACUUUUUAAAAUGUCAUCUGUUAUAAUUAUCAGGAAUUCAUACAUUCCUCUAAAAUAUUAUACAGAAAGCAUAAGUAUUUGGGUCCUAAAAGGUAUUAUAUGGUGAGGACAAUAGGAAGAAAAUGGAGCUUCACAGGCUUUCCCUUAAGGAAAAUUGUCCAACCAUCUUGGCAGGAGUGACUUGAGAAGACUAUUAAAGACCUGCAGAGGGACUUCCGGUUAAGAUGGCGGCUUAGAGAAAGCUGAAGUUCAGAUCUCCGGAAAACCCUUCCCGACCGAUCUCAAACUAGAAGCUCCUAAGGCGCCGAAAUUCAAAACGAUCAACAGCACAGACCCUGGGAACCCUCCUCCUGGACCUGGACCCGGUUCAAAAGGUACGGCUCCCCUUAAAAGCCAGAACCCGAGAUCCCUCGGACCUCAGGGGUAGGAGCGCAGAGUCCAAGGCUCCCGGAAGCGGCAGCCGCGCCGGGCUCAGAGAGCAGGGUCUGAGGAACAACAACCCUCAGGGUCUUCUACCCAAGUCCCAGUCCGGGUGAAAGU
Molecule: long non-coding RNA, 4743 nt
Organism: Monodelphis domestica (gray short-tailed opossum)
Lineage: Eukaryota; Metazoa; Chordata; Mammalia; Didelphimorphia; Didelphidae
Source: RefSeq, a predicted model, not a curated record